UUAAGCCUGCAUGUCUAAGUUUAAGCGAUUAAACGGUGAAACUGCGAAUGGCUCAUUAAAUCAGUUAUCGUUUAUUUGAUAGUACCUUACUACAUGGAUACCUGUGGUAAUUCUAGAGCUAAUACAUGCUGAAAACCCCAACUUCGGAAGGGGUGUAUUUAUUAGAUAAAAAACCAAUGCCCUUCGGGGCUCCUUGGUGAUUCAUAAUAACUUAACGAAUCGCAUGGCCUUGCGCCGGCGAUGGUUCAUUCAAAUUUCUGCCCUAUCAACUUUCGAUGGUAGGAUAGUGGCCUACCAUGGUGGCAACGGGUAACGGGGAAUUAGGGUUCGAUUCCGGAGAGGGAGCCUGAGAAACGGCUACCACAUCCAAGGAAGGCAGCAGGCGCGCAAAUUACCCAAUCCCGACACGGGGAGGUAGUGACAAUAAAUACUGAUACGGGGCUCUUUCGGGUCUCGUAAUUGGAAUGAGUACAAUUUAAACCCCUUAACGAGGAACAAUUGGAGGGCAAGUCUGGUGCCAGCAGCCGCGGUAAUUCCAGCUCCAAUAGCGUAUAUUAAAGUUGUUGCAGUUAAAAAGCUCGUAGUUGAACCUUGGGUCUGGCUGGCCGGUCCGCCUCACCGCGAGUACUGGUCCGGCUGGACCUUUCCUUCUGGGGAACCUCAUGGCCUUCACUGGCUGUGGGGGGAACCAGGACUUUUACUGUGAAAAAAUUAGAGUGUUCAAAGCAGGCCUUUGCUCGAAUACAUUAGCAUGGAAUAAUAGAAUAGGACGUGCGGUUCUAUUUUGUUGGUUUCUAGGACCGCCGUAAUGAUUAAUAGGGAUAGUCGGGGGCGUCAGUAUUCAGCUGUCAGAGGUGAAAUUCUUGGAUUUGCUGAAGACUAACUACUGCGAAAGCAUUCGCCAAGGAUGUUUUCAUUAAUCAGGGAACGAAAGUUAGGGGAUCGAAGACGAUCAGAUACCGUCGUAGUCUUAACCAUAAACUAUGCCGACUAGGGAUCGGACGGUGUUUCUAUUAUGACCCGUUCGGCACCUUACGAGAAAUCAAAGUUUUUGGGUUCUGGGGGG
This 1066-nucleotide ribosomal RNA is filed under the name Aspergillus candidus. RNAcentral describes it as "SSU rRNA". It matches the Rfam family "Eukaryotic small subunit ribosomal RNA", at positions 44 to 1121 of the family's 1831-position model. The record is from RNAcentral. Lineage: Eukaryota; Fungi; Ascomycota; Eurotiomycetes; Eurotiales; Aspergillaceae.